GAUGAACGCUGGCGGCGUGCCUAAUACAUGCAAGUCGAGCGAACAGACGAGGAGCUUGCUCCUCUGACGUUAGCGGCGGACGGGUGAGUAACACGUGGAUAACCUACCUAUAAGACUGGGAUAACUUCGGGAAACCGGAGCUAAUACCGGAUAAUAUAUUGAACCGCAUGGUUCAAUAGUGAAAGACGGUUUUGCUGUCACUUAUAGAUGGAUCCGCGCCGCAUUAGCUAGUUGGUAAGGUAACGGCUUACCAAGGCAACGAUGCGUAGCCGACCUGAGAGGGUGAUCGGCCACACUGGAACUGAGACACGAUCCAGACUCCUACGGGAGGCAGCAGUAGGGAAUCUUCCGCAAUGGACGAAAGCCUGACGGAGCAACGCCGCGUGAGUGAUGAAGGUCUUCGGAUCGUAAAACUCUGUUAUUAGGGAAGAACAAAUGUGUAAGUAACUAUGCACGUCUUGACGGUACCUAAUCAGAAAGCCACGGCUAACUACGUG
This 497-nucleotide ribosomal RNA is filed under the name uncultured bacterium. Its description in RNAcentral is "partial 16S ribosomal RNA". It matches the Rfam family "Bacterial small subunit ribosomal RNA", at positions 28 to 507 of the family's 1533-position model. The record is from RNAcentral.